AUUGAACGCUGGCGGCAUGCCUUACACAUGCAAGUCGAACGGCAGCACGGGAGCAAUCCUGGUGGCGAGUGGCGAACGGGUGAGUAAUAUAUCGGAACGUGCCCGGUCGUGGGGGAUAACGUAGCGAAAGCUACGCUAAUACCGCAUACGAUCUACGGAUGAAAGCGGGGGAUCGCAAGACCUCGCGCGAUUGGAGCGGCCGAUAUCAGAUUAGGUAGUUGGUGAGGUAAAGGCUCACCAAGCCGACGAUCUGUAGCUGGUCUGAGAGGACGACCAGCCACACUGGGACUGAGACACGGCCCAGACUCCUACGGGAGGCAGCAGUGGGGGAAUUUUGGGACAAUGGGCGCAAGCCUGAUCCAGCAAUGCCGCGUGCAGGAUGAAGGCCUCGGUUGG
This 396-nucleotide ribosomal RNA is filed under the name uncultured bacterium. RNAcentral's name for it is "bacterial SSU rRNA". It matches the Rfam family "Bacterial small subunit ribosomal RNA", at positions 29 to 426 of the family's 1533-position model. The record is from RNAcentral.